Molecule: ribosomal RNA, 468 nt
Filed under: uncultured bacterium
Lineage: Bacteria
Description: partial 16S ribosomal RNA
Rfam family: Bacterial small subunit ribosomal RNA
Source: RNAcentral
GAUGAACGCUGGCGGCGUGCCUAACACAUGCAAGUCGAGCGAUUUACUUCGGUAAAGAGCGGCGGACGGGUGAGUAACGCGUGGGUAACUUGCCCUGUACACACGGAUAACAUACCGAAAGGUAUGCUAAUACGAGAUAAUAUACUUUUAUCGCAUGGUAGAAGUAUCAAAGCUUUUGCGGUACAGGAUGGACCCGCGUCUGAUUAGCUAGUUGGUAAGGUAACGGCUUACCAAGGCGACGAUCAGUAGCCGACCUGAGAGGGUGAUCGGCCACAUUGGAACUGAGACACGGUCCAAACUCCUACGGGAGGCAGCAGUGGGGAAUAUUGCACAAUGGGCGUAAGCCUGAUGCAGCAACGCCGCGUGAGCGAUGAAGGCCUUCGGGUCGUAAAGCUCUGUCCUCAAGGAAGAUAAUGACGGUACUUGAGGAGGAAGCCCCGGCUAACUACGUGCCAGCAGCCGCAGUAA